GGUAGUAUAGCUCAAUGGUAGAGUGCUUGCCCAGUAAGCAUGAGGCCCUGGGUCCCAUCCCCAGCACCACAA
Molecule: transfer RNA, 72 nt
Filed under: Ictidomys tridecemlineatus (thirteen-lined ground squirrel)
Lineage: Eukaryota; Metazoa; Chordata; Mammalia; Rodentia; Sciuridae
Also listed under: 1 other name
Description: Spermophilus tridecemlineatus (thirteen-lined ground squirrel) tRNA
Rfam family: tRNA
About the family: Transfer RNA (tRNA) molecules are approximately 80 nucleotides in length. Their secondary structure includes four short double-helical elements and three loops (D, anti-codon, and T loops).
Source: Rfam by way of RNAcentral